CAGGGUGUAGCUACAACACAAAGCAUUCAGCUUACACCUGAAAGAUAUCUGUCACCUCCAGAUCACCCUGA
This 71-nucleotide transfer RNA is filed under the name Ara ararauna (blue-and-yellow macaw). Its description in RNAcentral is "tRNA-Val". Lineage: Eukaryota; Metazoa; Chordata; Aves; Psittaciformes; Psittacidae. The record is from RNAcentral.